Molecule: long non-coding RNA, 1258 nt
Filed under: Anas platyrhynchos platyrhynchos (common mallard)
Lineage: Eukaryota; Metazoa; Chordata; Aves; Anseriformes; Anatidae
Description: lncRNA (ENSAPLG00000020782.1)
Source: RNAcentral
GGCAAGGAACAUUCCACCUGUCUGCCAAAUUCCAGGAGGCUGGAAGCAUGCUGGAAAUCAUACCACCACGACUGCAGCUGAGGGAAGGUCUGACUUAAAACCUUGCCACAAUGAAAAUCCAUCUACCAGUAUUGGUCACCAGUACCUUAACAGGUUCUAAUAUCAGUACAAGCAGCAGAAAUUUGAAGGCAUACCAGAAAUUUUAAAGAGUGCCUACUAACUUCCAGAACACUAACAAUGCAACAAGGAAUAAUAAAAAACUAACUGGUAUACUUGCAAAUAGUUUUCUAUCUUCAGCUGACGAGCUAGGCGCAGAACCCUUUUGGCCACACGAAUGCAGUGUUAUGACACUAGGAAGAAUCUUUUAAAAAGUGAACCUUAGAGACCCAAAUUUCAGAAGGCAAAUUAUGAGAAAAAUAUAUCUUUCAACUAUGAUUUUUUCAGGCAACUUAUGACUGGAAACAAUUGGAGCAGGUCGCACUGCAAGCUGUUGUAAGUCUGUGCCAUUCCGCAUUCUGUCCUCAGGCAGCCCUAUCAGUAAGGAGGCAUGUUACAGCUUUUUAUUUAUUCUAACCUGCUUUGUUGUUUUCUGCAGCACAGAGAUCAUUAAGAAAGAAGUUUCUCAGAUACAGAAAAACAUAACCCAAAUUUUUAAUGACCUCUCUAGUUCAGCUCCCCGCUGCAUAUGCAGCUAAUUAUUUUUCGCUUGCACAUUUCCUAGGCCUUUCUUCAUUCUGAUCAGCCAUGGAAACUAAGAGCUACUAAUAAAAAGUGACCAUUCCUCUAAAAAUUGUGGCACCUGGGGAGAGGAGGUACUACAUGCUCAACCUGUGAGGCAUUCUGCUCCUAACCUUUGAAAAGUCUGAAGACAGAAUGGAGGUGUCAUCUCCUCUACAAUCAGAUUUCCCUGUUCAGAUUUGGGUUCCAAACCAAGGCAGGAAGAGCAGGAGUGAAUACUCCUGGGAUUUCUGAGCUGCACCUGGCUAUGCCUCCUUCGGCAUUCAUUCCACACACGCAAGUGAAGAGGACAGAAUUUGAGACAGAGGAGGCUCUUUCAGAGCAGAGGGGAAUUUUGCAAGUGUUCAGGGGAAUAAAAACACUUACCUGCCGCGUGUGCUGCGAAGGAAGAGUGCUUUUGGCAGCAGAGGCUGCACAGCUCUGGAAGAAGGGGAGGCAAGUUGGAGCAGCUUCAUCUCUUAAGAGCGUCCCAGCUCUGCCAAACCAAACAAGACAAGGGAUAACAGUCAUUCAGGUGUAA